Molecule: ribosomal RNA, 468 nt
Filed under: uncultured bacterium
Lineage: Bacteria
Description: partial 16S ribosomal RNA
Rfam family: Bacterial small subunit ribosomal RNA
Source: RNAcentral
GACGAACGCUGGCGGCGUGCUUAACACAUGCAAGUCGAACGGAAAGGCCCUGCUUUUGUGGGGUGCUUGAGUGGCGAACGGGUGAGUAACACGUGAGUAACAUGCCCCUGACUGUGGGAUAACUUCAGGAAACUGGGGCUAAUACCGGAUAGGAGCUACUGCUGCAUGGUGGGGGCUGGAAAGUUUCGGCGGUUGGGGAUGGACUCGCGGCUUAUCAGCUUGUUGGUGGGGUAGUGGAUUACCAAGGCUUUGACGGGUAGCCGGCCUGAGAAGGUGACGGGCCACAUGGGGACUGAAAUGCGACCCAGACUCGUACGGGAGACAGCAGGGGAGAAUAGUGCACAAUGAGCGGGAGGCAGAUGCAACAACGCCGCGUGCUGGAUGAAAGGCUUCGAGUUGGAACCCGCUUUCCCCUGAGACGGAGCGUGAGUGACAGGAAUGGGUGAAUAAGCACGGGCUAACUACGUG